UGGGGAAUUUUGGACAAUGGGCGCAAGCCUGAUCCAGCAAUGCCGCGUGCAGGAUGAAGGCCUUCGGGUUGUAAACUGCUUUUGUACGGAGCGAAAAGGUCUGCCCUAAUACGGUGGGCUCAUGACGGUACCGUAAGAAUAAGCACCGGCUAACUACGUGCCAGCAGCCGCGGUAAUACGUAGGGUGCAAGCGUUAAUCGGAAUUACUGGGCGUAAAGCGUGCGCAGGCGGUGAUGUAAGACAGGUGUGAAAUCCCCGGGCUUAACCUGGGAAUUGCAUUUGUGACUGCAUCGCUGGAGUGCGGCAGAGGGGGAUGGAAUUCCGCGUGUAGCAGUGAAAUGCGUAGAUAUGCGGAGGAACACCGAUGGCGAAGGCAAUCCCCUGGGCCUGUACUGACGCUCAUGCACGAAAGCGUGGGGAGCAAACA
RNAcentral lists this ribosomal RNA (427 nucleotides) under uncultured bacterium. RNAcentral describes it as "bacterial SSU rRNA". It matches the Rfam family "Bacterial small subunit ribosomal RNA", at positions 355 to 774 of the family's 1533-position model. The record is from RNAcentral.